CCUACGGGAGGCAGCAGUGAGGAAUAUUGGUCAAUGGGCGGGAGCCUGAACCAGCCAAGUCGCGUGAGGGAAGACGGUCCUAUGGAUUGUAAACCUCUUUAGGCGGGGAGCAAUGCCGGGCACGCGUGCCCGGAGGGAGAGUACCCGCAGAAUAAGCAUCGGCUAACUCCGUGCCAGCAGCCGCGGUAAUACGGAGGAUGCGAGCGUUAUCCGGAUUUAUUGGGUUUAAAGGGUGCGUAGGCGGAUUUUUAAGUCAGCGGUAAAAUGUCCGGGCUCAACCCGGGCCGGCCGUUGAAACUGGGGAUCUGGAGUGGGAGAGAAGUAUGCGGAAUGCGUGGUGUAGCGGUGAAAUGCAUAGAUAUCACGCAGAACUCCGAUUGCGAAGGCAGCAUACCGGCGCCCGACUGACGCUGAGGCACGAAAGCGUGGGGAUCGAACAGGAUUAGAUACCCCUGUAGUC
This 460-nucleotide ribosomal RNA is filed under the name uncultured bacterium. Its description in RNAcentral is "partial 16S ribosomal RNA". It matches the Rfam family "Bacterial small subunit ribosomal RNA", at positions 338 to 795 of the family's 1533-position model. The record is from RNAcentral.